RNAcentral lists this ribosomal RNA (253 nucleotides) under uncultured prokaryote. RNAcentral's name for it is "partial 16S ribosomal RNA". It matches the Rfam family "Bacterial small subunit ribosomal RNA", at positions 525 to 777 of the family's 1533-position model. The record is from RNAcentral.
ACGGAGGGUGCAAGCGUUGCUCGGAAUUAUUGGGCGUAAAGGGUAGGUAGGUGGUCUUAUUUGUCUGGGGUGAAAGCCUUGAGCUUAACUCAAGAAGUGCCUCAGAAACGGUAAGACUGGAGUCCUGGAGAGGGUCGUGGAAUACCCGGUGGAGCGGUGAAAUGCGUAGAGAUCGGGUGGAACACCAGCGGCGAAGGCGGCAUCCUGGCCCUGACCUGACGCUGAGGCGCGAUAGCGUGGGGAGCAAACGGGA